Molecule: ribosomal RNA, 511 nt
Filed under: uncultured bacterium
Lineage: Bacteria
Description: partial 16S ribosomal RNA
Source: RNAcentral
GGAGUUAGCCGGUGCUUAUUCUGCGAGUAACGUCACAGAUGUAAGGUAUUAACUUACACCCUUUCCUCCUCGCUGAAAGUGCUUUACAACCCGAAGGCCUUCUUCACACACGCGGCAUGGCUGCAUCAGGGUUUCCCCCAUUGUGCAAUAUUCCCCACUGCUGCCUCCCGUAGGAGUCUGGGCCGUGUCUCAGUCCCAGUGUGGCUGAUCAUCCUCUCAGACCAGCUAGGGAUCGUCGCCUAGGUGAGCCUUUACCUCACCUACUAGCUAAUCCCACCUGGGCUUAUCCAUCAGCGCAAGGCCCGAAGGUCCCCUGCUUUCCCCCGUAGGGCGUAUGCGGUAUUAGCAGUCGUUUCCAACUGUUAUCCCCCACAAAUGGGCAAAUUCCCAGGCAUUACUCACCCGUCCGCCGCUCGUCAUCUUCAAAAGCAAGCUUUUGAAAUGUUACCGCUCGACUUGCAUGUGUUAGGCCUGCCGCCAGCGUUCAAUCUGAGCCAUGAUCAAACUCUGA